Molecule: ribosomal RNA, 562 nt
Filed under: uncultured bacterium
Lineage: Bacteria
Description: bacterial SSU rRNA
Rfam family: Bacterial small subunit ribosomal RNA
Source: RNAcentral
AGGUGUGGGCAGUGUAGAAGCCGUCUGUGCCGGAGCAAACGCGAUAAGUUCACCGCCUGGGGAGUACGGUCGCAAGGCUAAAACCCAAAGGAAUUGACGGGGGCCCGCACAAGCAGCGGAGCGUGUGGUUUAAUUCGAUGCAACGCGAAGAACCUUACCUGGGCUUGACAUGUACGUAGUAGUGAAGGGAAACCGGAACGAGCCUUCGGGCAGCGUAGACAGGUGCUGCAUGGCUGUCGUCAGCUCGUGUCGUGAGAUGUUGGGUUAAGUCCCGCAACGAGCGCAACCCGUGUUGCUAGUUACAAGUGUCUAGCGAGACUGCCGGUAACAAGCCGGAGGAAGGUGCGGAUGAUGUCAAGUCAGCAUGGCCUAUAUGUCCAGGGCUACACACACGCUACAAUGGCUGGUACAAAGAGAAGCGAAAGGGAGACCUGAAGCGAAUCUCAUCAAAGCCAGUCAUAGUUCGGAUUGCAGGCUGCAACUCGCCUGCAUGAAGUCGGAGUUGCUAGUAACCGCAGGUCAGCAAUACUGCGGUGAAUACGUUCCCGGGCCUUGUACACAC